GUGGGGCAUGUUUAUUAAUUUACUUGGAGGAUUAACUAGCAAGUUGUAUCUUUGUAAAUGUCUCCAGGGGCUCUGGGGCACUUGUUUCUAGAAACACAAUGAAUGAAUGCCUCCUAACACAUUUCUAGCCUGAAACAGACCCUGUUGACUGCCCUCCGUUCUAUCACCCUGUCAUCGGCAAACAGUUCAGCUGCUGUGCUAAGAACCCUGAGAAAUAACUACACAAGACAAGAUUUCCGUUCUGUCUUUCACAUCCUUCAGGAGUUAUGCUGCAGACCUCUCCACACCCUCUGUACUGCAGUGGAUGUUGGAAGACUACAGGCAUUCUAUGGCAUCACGACACUACAGUCUAAGCCAAGAAGGGAGUGGUUCCCUCACCCAGUUUAUAAAUUAUCCAAUAAAUCCAAGUCGUUGGAAUCAAUGGAGCAUCAACAUGAAGAAGGUAUUGAAAACUAAGAGAAAAAAGGCCAGAGUUCUUUCAUGCAACAAAUAUGUAGUGGGCAUCUACUGUCCAAGGUGUUCAGGACCCAUGAGAACAGACAAAAGUUUCUACCCAGCCUCUGGUGGGGCAGGAGAGAGAACGGAAAGCAUUGAAAUCAGACACAGAAAGAAAAGCAGCAGCAGGACAGCUACCUACGAUGAAGGCCCCACACAGGCGUCUGGGUGGGCUGCAGUGAGAACACGCCUCGAAGGAAGGAGCCUCCUGUCUGCUCAGCACAAAGUCAUAACCCCCCAUAAACUUACCUAAGGCACUAAACUUCAUCCCAAGGGCUCCUACAGGGACACAGACAGCUGUGUCUUUGGACUCUUACUUCCUGGUCCA
Long non-coding RNA from Peromyscus maniculatus bairdii (prairie deer mouse), 823 nucleotides. RefSeq lists it as uncharacterized. The record is from RefSeq and is a predicted model, not a curated record. NCBI's taxonomy places the organism in Eukaryota, Metazoa, Chordata, Mammalia, Rodentia, Cricetidae.